This 581-nucleotide ribosomal RNA is filed under the name uncultured bacterium. Its description in RNAcentral is "bacterial SSU rRNA". It matches the Rfam family "Bacterial small subunit ribosomal RNA", at positions 400 to 977 of the family's 1533-position model. The record is from RNAcentral.
UGUGAGUGAAGAACAAUCGGCGUAAAUAAGCUCUUUUGUCAGGGAAGAAACCCGGCUCUAACACACUCCGGGAAUGACGGUACCUGAAGAAUAAGCACCGGCUAACUACGUGCCAGCAGCCGCGGUAAUACGUAGGGUGCGAGCGUUAAUCGGAAUUACUGGGCGUAAAGCGUGCGCAGGCGGUUAUACAAGACAGGCGUGAAAUCCCCGGGCUUAACCUGGGAAUGGCGCCUGUGACUGUAUAGCUAGAGUGUGUCAGAGGGGGGUAGAAUUCCACGUGUAGCAGUGAAAUGCGUAGAUAUGUGGAGGAAUACCAAUGGCGAAGGCAGCCCCCUGGGAUAACACUGACGCUCAUGCACGAAAGCGUGGGGAGCAAACAGGAUUAGAUACCCUGGUAGUCCACGCCCUAAACGAUGCUGACUAGUUGUUCGGGAUUUACAUCCUGAGUAACGUAGCUAACGCGUGAAGUCAGCCGCCUGGGGAGUACGGUCGCAAGAUUAAAACUCAAAGGAAUUGACGGGGACCCGCACAAGCGGUGGAUGAUGUGGCUUAAUUCGAUGCCACGCGACAAACCUUACCUA